AAGACUUUAGUUAAUCCAAUAAUAGUAGUUUGUCAGGCUAUCGUAAUCCUCCGGGGUAAGUCUUG
Molecule: transfer RNA, 65 nt
Filed under: Hirudo nipponia
Lineage: Eukaryota; Metazoa; Annelida; Clitellata; Hirudinida; Hirudinidae
Description: tRNA-Asp
Source: RNAcentral